RNAcentral lists this ribosomal RNA (462 nucleotides) under uncultured bacterium. RNAcentral describes it as "partial 16S ribosomal RNA". It matches the Rfam family "Bacterial small subunit ribosomal RNA", at positions 337 to 795 of the family's 1533-position model. The record is from RNAcentral.
GACUACUGGGCGGCAGCAGUGAGGAAUAUUGGUCAAUGGGCUUACGCCUGAACCAGCCAAGUCGCGUGAGGGAAGACUGCCCUAUGGGUUGUAAACCUCUUUUGUCAGGGAGCAAUUGGCGCUACGUGUAGCGUUAUCGAGAGUACCUGAAGAAAAAGCAUCGGCUAACUCCGUGCCAGCAGCCGCGGUAAUACGGAGGAUGCGAGCGUUAUCCGGAUUUAUUGGGUUUAAAGGGUGCGUAGGCGGAAUGCCAAGUCAGCGGUAAAAUCGCGGGGCUCAACCUCGCUCCGCCGUUGAAACUGGCGUUCUUGAGUGGGCGAGAAGUAUGCGGAAUGCGUGGUGUAGCGGUGAAAUGCAUAGAUAUCACGCAGAACUCCGAUUGCGAAGGCAGCAUACCGGCGCCCAACUGACGCUGAAGCACGAAAGCGUGGGUAUCGAACAGGAUUAGAUACGCCUGUAGUC